RNAcentral lists this ribosomal RNA (478 nucleotides) under uncultured bacterium. RNAcentral describes it as "partial 16S ribosomal RNA". It matches the Rfam family "Bacterial small subunit ribosomal RNA", at positions 28 to 507 of the family's 1533-position model. The record is from RNAcentral.
GAUGAACGCUGGCGGCGUGCUUAACACAUGCAAGUCGAACGAGAAGUGAAGACGGAAACCUUCGGGCGGAAGGCUUUAUUUCGAGUGGCGGACGGGUGAGUAACGCGUGGGUAACCUGCCUCAUACAGGGGGAUAACAGUUGGAAACGACUGUUAAUACCGCAUAAGACCACAGCACCGCAUGGUGCGGGGGUAAAAACUCCGGUGGUAUGAGAUGGACCCGCGUUCGAUUAGCCAGUUGGCGGGGUAACGGCCCACCAAAGCGACGAUCGAUAGCCGAUCUGAGAGGAUGACCGGCCACAUUGGGACUGAGACACGGCCCAAACUCCUACGGGAGGCAGCAGUGGGGAAUAUUGAACAAUGGGGGAAACCCUGAUGCAGCGACGCCGCGUGAGUGAAGAAGUAUUUCGGUAUGUAAAGCUCUAUCAGCAGGGAAGAAAAUGACGGUACCUGAGUAAGAAGCCCCGGCUAACUACGUG